This 75-nucleotide transfer RNA is filed under the name Streptomyces rimosus subsp. rimosus. Its description in RNAcentral is "tRNA-Thr(cgt)". Lineage: Bacteria; Bacillati; Actinomycetota; Actinomycetes; Kitasatosporales; Streptomycetaceae. The record is from RNAcentral.
CCACGCUGCUGGGGAUCGCCGUGCUGGUGCUCGUGGCGCUGGUGUGUGCCCGGGUUCCGUACCCGGGGCGCGGGC